CGCCGCACUUACCCGGGCCGCGGGAGGUGGCCGGCCGCCGGCGGGUCCUGCAGCGCCGCAAUCCGCCGCCCGUGGGGCUGCCAAAUCAGUAAGAAAGGAGGGAUGGACAAAAGAAGCUUGCCUUGCUUGGAGAUACAGUCAGAAACCAACCUUCAAUGCACUUUCAGAUAGAGUGAGAUUCCAAACCCACACCCUAAGGAACAGAAAGGACACACAUCAAGGAUGAAGACUAUAAAGAUCAUUUCACAUAGGCCACUAGCAUCUGUCACAUGGUAGUAACUUCUGUUCUUUACUCAUUUGGGCUGGAUUCUUGUGUGGGGUGGCCUGCCCAGGUCCUGAUCCUGCCACACAUGGCUGGGAAGUUUGGCAGCAGGGUAGCAUUGGCAGUGUUAAUUG
Long non-coding RNA from Gavialis gangeticus (Gharial), 396 nucleotides. RefSeq lists it as uncharacterized. NCBI's taxonomy places the organism in Eukaryota, Metazoa, Chordata, Crocodylia, Gavialidae. The transcript has 3 exons. The record is from RefSeq and is a predicted model, not a curated record.